ACUGGCGUCAGGAUGAACGCUGGCGGCGUGCCUAACACAUGCAAGUCGAACGGAGAUUAACGCUGAUGAGGCUUCGGCCAAGUCUUGUUAAAUCUUAGUGGCGGACGGGUGAGUAACGCGUGGGCAACCUGCCUCGUACUGGGGGAGUAACAGUUGGAACGACUGUUAAUACCGCAUAAGCGCACGGUGUCGCAUGACACAGUGUGAAAAACUCCGGUGGUACGAGAUGGGCCCGCGUCAGAUUAGCCAGUUGGUGGGGUAACGGCCUACCAAAGCAACGAUCUGUAGCCGGACUGAGAGGUCGGACGGCCACAUUGGGACUGAGACACGGCCCAAACUCCUACGGGAGGCAGCAGCGGGGGAUAUUGCACAAUGGGCGAAAGCCUGAUGCAGCGACGCCGCGUGAAGUGAAGAAGUAUUUCGGUAUGUAAAGCUCUAUCAGCAGGGAAGAAAGACUCGAAAGAGAGAUGACGGUACCUGACUAAGAAGCCCCGGCUAACUACGUGCCAGCAGCGGC
This 517-nucleotide ribosomal RNA is filed under the name uncultured bacterium. Its description in RNAcentral is "bacterial SSU rRNA". It matches the Rfam family "Bacterial small subunit ribosomal RNA", at positions 17 to 518 of the family's 1533-position model. The record is from RNAcentral.